Molecule: non-coding RNA, 29 nt
Filed under: Mus musculus (house mouse)
Lineage: Eukaryota; Metazoa; Chordata; Mammalia; Rodentia; Muridae
Source: RNAcentral
UGGUCAGAAUGUUGAUGUCCCAGUGGAAG